RNAcentral lists this ribosomal RNA (497 nucleotides) under uncultured bacterium. RNAcentral describes it as "partial 16S ribosomal RNA". It matches the Rfam family "Bacterial small subunit ribosomal RNA", at positions 28 to 507 of the family's 1533-position model. The record is from RNAcentral.
GACGAACGCUGGCGGCGUGCCUAAUACAUGCAAGUCGAACGCUGAAGAGAGGAGCUUGCUCUUCUUGGAUGAGUUGCGAACGGGUGAGUAACGCGUAGGUAACCUGCCUGGUAGCGGGGGAUAACCAUUGGAAACGAUAGCUAAUACCGCAUAAAAUGGUUUAUCGCAUGAUAAUCCAUUGAAAGGUGCAAAUGCAUCACUACCAGAUGGACCUGCGUUGUAUUAGCUAGUUGGUGGGGUAACGGCGCACCAAGGCGACGAUACAUAGCCGACCUGAGAGGGUGGGCGGCCAGACUGGGACUGAGACACGGCCCAGACGCAUACGGGAGGGAGCAGUAGGGAAUCUGGGGCAAUGGGCGGAAGACUGAGCGAGAAACGCCGCGUGAGGGAAGAAGGGUGUCGGAUCGUAAAGGUCGGUUGUAAGGGAAGAACGAGUGUGAGAGUGGAAAGUUCACACUGUGACGGUAUCUUACCAGAAAGGGACGGCUAACUACGUG